UGGGGAAUAUUGCACAAUGGGCGCAAGCCUGAUGCAGCCAUGCCGCGUGUAUGAAGAAGGCCUUCGGGUUGUAAAGUACUUUCAGCGGGGAGGAAGGGAGUAAAGUUAAUACCUUUGCUCAUUGACGUUACCCGCAGAAGAAGCACCGGCUAACUCCGUGCCAGCAGCCGCGGUAAUACGGAGGGUGCAAUCGUUAAUCGGAAUUACUGGGCGUAAAGCGCACGCAGGCGGUUUGUUAAGUCAGAUGUGAAAUCCCCGGGCUCAACCUGGGAACUGCAUCUGAUACUGGCAAGCUUGAGUCUCGUAGAGGGGGGUAGAAUUCCAGGUGUAGCGGUGAAAUGCGUAGAGAUCUGGAGGAAUACCGGUGGCGAAGGCGGCCCCCUGGACGAAGACUGACGCUCAGGUGCGAAAGCGUGGGGAGCAAACAGG
RNAcentral lists this ribosomal RNA (429 nucleotides) under Chloroflexota bacterium. RNAcentral describes it as "Chloroflexi bacterium partial 16S ribosomal RNA". It matches the Rfam family "Bacterial small subunit ribosomal RNA", at positions 355 to 776 of the family's 1533-position model. The record is from RNAcentral. Lineage: Bacteria; Bacillati; Chloroflexota.